RNA transcript from Drosophila elegans, 1169 nucleotides. RefSeq lists it as uncharacterized. The record is from RefSeq and is a predicted model, not a curated record. The transcript is spliced from 5 exons. NCBI's taxonomy places the organism in Eukaryota, Metazoa, Arthropoda, Insecta, Diptera, Drosophilidae.
UUUCUUCUAGCCUAAUAAAAUAUAUUUUUAUACCAUUGCUUGACAAAGUUGCGUUAUUUAAUAAGUUUUCAAGGAAUCAAUUAUAAUUCAUAGGAAAUGGCGUUUGGAAUCAAAGAGUGGAAUUUCCCUAAGGAUAACCUUUUAAGGAUGUGUUUCCUAAUUUCCGCAAUUGAAUUAUUGCGUUCGCUUUAUUUCUCAUUUAGUUCGGUUACUGUGAUGACAUCGCAUACGAAUUAUUAUACCAUAAUAGCUUUUCUAAGCACUAUAGCGUGGAUUUUGACCGUUGUUCGACUUUUUGUGGGUUUGUGGAUGAGUCGUCCAAAUCUUCUUGUAUUUUGGUUACUUUUUUCUGGCUUUGCCACUGUCACGCAUAUUAUUUUCUUGAUUUGGAAUGUAACGUCUUCUCCCAUUUUCGAUGAGGAUCAUUUUAAGCACUGGGCUAUUUUGUAUUUGGGAAUUCUUUAUGAGUGCACUUGUUUGUACUUAGUAUUUAGAUAUUUCCAGAGGCUGUGUUCCUAUUGUCUUCUGGAAGGCGGCAACUAUGGUUUUAUCUCUGAAGGUGGUAAUGGUAAGCGGGCAUCUAAGCUACUUACUUUAUGGCGACCAUUUCAUCUAGAAACACAGAAGACUGUCACAGAGAUGCUGAAACAGAGACAAUUUCAACAACUUCAAACACAAUUACUGCUGAAAAUAAAACAGAAGAUUAUUAAGCUUAUUUGGAGAAAAUCAAGAAAAAGCACAAAUCUCGUAUGUUCUUUUGAUUAUGGGAAGGCACUCUCUAUGAAUUACAAAAAAAAAAAAUUAAAUACAAACAUUUCUUAUCGGUUGAUUUCAAUUUACCGGCCAAUGGAGAGAGAGAACCAAAUCAUUUUCCUCCUACAAACAAUAAUAAUAAUUGAGUUACACAGUUUUCCAUCUACUUUACGAUGCCUUCGAGGACAAGAGCUAGUCACGUUGCCAACGGGGGACCAGGACCAGGACAAUCCAAUCUCCAGGGCCUGCUGACAAAACAAAUGCCAUAAAUGAGAAGCAGGCAGAUGGUCGCACAAAACUUGUCAUAUCUUUGUCGGCAAAGGCGGGUUGUGUGAUUUUUUUGGGAGUCCUCUAAUAGUGAAGCAAACCAAACCUUUUGGCCCACUGUGCGCUGCCUGGGAAUUUUGGCAAUCAAA